GACGAACGCUGGCGGCGUGCUUAACACAUGCAAGUCGAACGGAAAGGCCCUGCUUGCAGGGUACUCGAGUGGCGAACGGGUGAGUAACACGUGGGUGAUCUGCCCUGCACUUCGGGAUAAGCCUGGGAAACUGGGUCUAAUACCGGAUAGGAGCCAUUUUUAGUGUGAUGGUUGGAAAGUUUUUUCGGUGUAGGAUGAGCUCGCGGCCUAUCAGCUUGUUGGUGGGGUAAUGGCCUACCAAGGCGGCGACGGGUAGCCGGCCUGAGAGGGUGGACGGCCACAUUGGGACUGAGAUACGGCCCAGACUCCUACGGGAGGCAGCAGUGGGGAAUAUUGCACAAUGGGCGCAAGCCUGAUGCAGCGACGCCGCGUGGGGGAUGACGGCCUUCGGGUUGUAAACUCCUUUCGCUAGGGACGAAGCUUUUUGAGACGGUACCUAGAUAAGAAGCACCGGCUAACUACGUG
Molecule: ribosomal RNA, 465 nt
Filed under: uncultured bacterium
Lineage: Bacteria
Description: partial 16S ribosomal RNA
Rfam family: Bacterial small subunit ribosomal RNA
Source: RNAcentral